Molecule: ribosomal RNA, 440 nt
Filed under: uncultured bacterium
Lineage: Bacteria
Description: bacterial SSU rRNA
Rfam family: Bacterial small subunit ribosomal RNA
Source: RNAcentral
CCUACGGGGGGCUGCAGUGGGGAAUAUUGCACAAUGGGGGAAACCCUGAUGCAGCAACGCCGCGUGAGCGAUGAAGGCCUUCGGGUCGUAAAGCUCUGUCCUAAGGGAAGAAUACUGACGGUACCUUAGGAGGAAGCCCCGGCUAACUACGUGCCAGCAGCCGCGGUAAUACGUAGGGGGCUAGCGUUAUCCGGAAUCACUGGGUGUAAAGGGUGCGUAGGCGGUAGGGCAAGUCAGGGGUGAAAGGCUACGGCUCAACCGUAGUAAGCCUUUGGAACUACUUAGCUUGAGUGCAGGAGAGGAGAGUGGAAUUCCUAGUGUAGCGGUGAAAUGCGUAGAUAUUGGGAGGAACACCAGUUGCGAAGGCGGCUCUCUGGACUGUAACUGACGCUGAGGCACGAAAGCGUGGGGAGCGAACAGGAUUAGAUACCCCUGUAGUC